CACUUUUAUAGGAAACAUAUCCAAAGUUGUACUGUGGGCGGAUGUAUCGGAAUUACACUUGACUGAAGCAAUUACGCAAAAAGAAGAGGAAGUGAGAAUAGGGAAAACUGGAAAAGGACGCAACCUGCUAGAAUCAUGAUAAAUUUAUUGCAAAAGGGCAAGUGAAUGAGAUUAGUUC
Molecule: non-coding RNA, 178 nt
Organism: Caenorhabditis elegans
Lineage: Eukaryota; Metazoa; Nematoda; Chromadorea; Rhabditida; Rhabditidae
Source: Ensembl